Molecule: ribosomal RNA, 467 nt
Filed under: uncultured bacterium
Lineage: Bacteria
Description: partial 16S ribosomal RNA
Rfam family: Bacterial small subunit ribosomal RNA
Source: RNAcentral
GACGAACGCUGGCGGCGUGCUUAACACAUGCAAGUCGAACGGAAAGGCCCUGCUUUUGUGGGGUGCUCGAGUGGCGAACGGGUGAGUAACACGUGAGUAACCUGCCCUUGACUUUGGGAUAACUUCAGGAAACUGGGGCUAAUACCGGAUAGGAGCUCCUGCUGCAUGGUGGGGGUUGGAAAGUUUCGGCGGUUGGGGAUGGACUCGCGGCUUAUCAGCUUGUUGGUGGGGUAGUGGCUUACCAAGGCUUUGACGGGUAGCCGGCCUGAGAGGGUGACCGGCCACAGUGGGACUGAGAUACGGCCCAGACUCCUACGGGAGGAAGCAGUGGGGAAUAUUGCACAAUGGGCGGAAGCCUGAUGCAGCAACGCCGCGUGCGGGAUGACGGCCUUCGGGUUGGAAACCGCUUUCGCCUGUGACGAAGCGUGAGUGACGGAAAUGGGUAAAGAAGCACCGGCUAACUACGG